Molecule: ribosomal RNA, 776 nt
Filed under: uncultured bacterium
Lineage: Bacteria
Description: bacterial SSU rRNA
Rfam family: Bacterial small subunit ribosomal RNA
Source: RNAcentral
AGAGUUUGAUCAUGGCUCAGGACGAACGCUGGCGGCGUGCUUAACACAUGCAAGUCGAACGAUGAUGCCCAGCUUGCUGGGCGGAUUAGUGGCGAACGGGUGAGUAACACGUGAGUAACCUGCCCCUGACUCUGGGAUAAGCGUUGGAAACGACGUCUAAUACUGGAUAUGAUCACUGGUCGCAUGGCCUGGUGGUGGAAAGAUUUUUUGGUUGGGGAUGGACUCGCGGCCUAUCAGCUUGUUGGUGAGGUAAUGGCUCACCAAGGCGACGACGGGUAGCCGGCCUGAGAGGGUGACCGGCCACACUGGGACUGAGACACGGCCCAGACUCCUACGGGAGGCAGCAGUGGGGAAUAUUGCACAAUGGGCGAAAGCCUGAUGCAGCAACGCCGCGUGAGGGAUGACGGCCUUCGGGUUGUAAACCUCUUUUAGUAGGGAAGAAGCGAAAGUGGCGGUACCUGCAGAAAAAGCACCGGCUAACUACGUGCCAGCAGCCGCGGUAAUACGUAGGGUGCAAGCGUUGUCCGGAAUUAUUGGGCGUAAAGAGCUCGUAGGCGGUUUGUCGCGUCUGCUGUGAAAUCCCGAGGCUCAACCUCGGGCUUGCAGUGGGUACGGGCAGACUAGAGUGCGGUAGGGGAGAUUGGAAUUCCUGGUGUAGCGGUGGAAUGCGCAGAUAUCAGGAGGAACACCGAUGGCGAAGGCAGAUCUCUGGGCCGUAACUGACGCUGAGGAGCGAAAGCAUGGGGAGCGAACAGGAUUAGAUACCCUAGUAGUCC